AGGGAAUCUUCCACAAUGGGCGCAAGCCUGAUGGAGCAACACCGCGUGAGUGAAGAAGGGUUUCGGCUCGUAAAGCUCUGUUGUUGGAGAAGAACGUGCGUGAGAGUAACUGUUCACGCCGUGACGGUAUCCAACCAGAAAGUCACCGACAACUAAGUGCACGGCGGCGCGGUAAUACGUAGGUGGCAAGCGUUAUCCGGAUUUAUUGGGCGUAAAGCGAGCGCAGGCGGUUGCUUAGGUCUGAUGUGAAAGCCUUCGGCUUAACCGAAGAAGUGCAUCGGAAACCGGGCGACUUGAGUGCAGAAGAGGACAGUGGAACUCCAUGUGUAGCGGUGGAAUGCGUAGAUAUAUGGAAGAACACCAGUGGCGAAGGCGGCUGUCUGGUCUGCAACUGACGCUGAGGCUCGAAAGCAUGGGUAGCGAACAGG
RNAcentral lists this ribosomal RNA (428 nucleotides) under uncultured bacterium. Its description in RNAcentral is "bacterial SSU rRNA". It matches the Rfam family "Bacterial small subunit ribosomal RNA", at positions 356 to 776 of the family's 1533-position model. The record is from RNAcentral.